UGCAGUCGAACGAGACCUUCGGGUCUAGUGGCGCACGGGUGAGUAACGCGUGGAAACCUACCAUUCUGUACGGAAUAACGAUUGGAAACGAUCGCUAAUACCGUAUACGCCCUGUGGGGGAAAGGUCCGCCGCAGAAUGAGGGGUCCGCGUCCGAUUAGCUUGUUGGUGGGGUAAAAGCCUACCAAGGCGAUGAUCGGUAGCUGGUCUGAGAGGAUGAUCAGCCACACUGGGACUGAGACACGGCCCAGACUCCUACGGGAGGCAGCAGUGGGGAAUAUUGGACAAUGGGGGCAACCCUGAUCCAGCAAUGCCGCGUGUGUGAAAGAAGGCCUUAGGGUUGUAAAGGCACUUUUCAAUGGUGAAGAAUGAUGACGGUAGCCGGUAAAAAGAAGCCCCGGGCUUAACUUCCUUGCCAAGCCGCCCGCGGUAUUACGAAGGGGGGGAGCGUUGGUUCGGAAUUACUUGGGGCGUAAAGGGGGCCCAAGGGCGGCAAUCCCAGUCAGGGGUGGAAGCCCCCGGGCUUAACCCGGGAACCUGCCAUUGAAUCU
This 549-nucleotide ribosomal RNA is filed under the name uncultured bacterium. RNAcentral's name for it is "bacterial SSU rRNA". It matches the Rfam family "Bacterial small subunit ribosomal RNA", at positions 56 to 634 of the family's 1533-position model. The record is from RNAcentral.